CAGACCGCCAGCUAAGGUCCCAAAGUCAUGGUUAAGUGGGAAACGAUGUGGGAAGGCCCAGACAGCCAGGAUGUUGGCUUAGAAGCAGCCAUCAUUUAAAGAAAGCGUAAUAGCUCACUGGUCGAGUCGGCCUGCGCGGAAGAUGUAACGGGGCUAAACCAUGCACCGAAGCUGCGGCAGCGACGCUUAUGCGUUGUUGGGUAGGGGAGCGUUCUGUAAGCCUGUGAAGGUGUGCUGUGAGGCAUGCUGGAGGUAUCAGAAGUGCGAAUGCUGACAUAAGUAACGAUAAAGCGGGUGAAAAGCCCGCUCGCCGGAAGACCAAGGGUUCCUGUCCAACGUUAAUCGGGGCAGGGUGAGUCGACCCCUAAGGCGAGGCCGAAAGGCGUAGUCGAUGGGAAACAGGUUAAUAUUCCUGUACUUGGUGUUACUGCGAAGGGGGGACGGAGAAGGCUAUGUUGGCCGGGCGACGGUUGUCCCGGUUUAAGCGUGUAGGCUGGUUUUCCAGGCAAAUCCGGAAAAUCAAGGCUGAGGCGUGAUGACGAGGCACUACGGUGCUGAAGCAACAAAUGCCCUGCUUCCAGGAAAAGCCUCUAAGCAUCAGGUAACAUCAAAUCGUACCCCAAACCGACACAGGUGGUCAGGUAGAGAAUACCAAGGCGCUUGAGAGAACUCGGGUGAAGGAACUAGGCAAAAUGGUGCCGUAACUUCGGGAGAAGGCACGCUGAUAUGUAGGUGAAGUCCCUCGCGGAUGGAGCUGAAAUCAGUCGAAGAUACCAGCUGGCUGCAACUGUUUAUUAAAAACACAGCACUGUGCAAACACGAAAGUGGACGUAUACGGUGUGACGCCUGCCCGGUGCCGGAAGGUUAAUUGAUGGGGUCAGCGCAAGCGAAGCUCUUGAUCGAAGCCCCGGUAAACGGCGGCCGUAACUAUAACGGUCCUAAGGUAGCGAAAUUCCUUGUCGGGUAAGUUCCGACCUGCACGAAUGGCGUAAUGAUGGCCAGGCUGUCUCCACCCGAGACUCAGUGAAAUUGAACUCGCUGUGAAGAUGCAGUGUACCCGCGGCAAGACGGAAAGACCCCGUGAACCUUUACUAUAGCUUGACACUGAACAUUGAGCCUUGAUGUGUAGGAUAGGUGGGAGGCUUAGAAGUGUGGACGCCAGUCUGCAUGGAGCCGACCUUGAAAUACCACCCUUUAAUGUUUGAUGUUCUAACGUUGACCCGUAAUCCGGGUUGCGGACAGUGUCUGGUGGGUAGUUUGACUGGGGCGGUCUCCUCCUAAAGAGUAACGGAGGAGCACGAAGGUUGGCUAAUCCUGGUCGGACAUCAGGAGGUUAGUGCAAUGGCAUAAGCCAGCUUGACUGCGAGCGUGACGGCGCGAGCAGGUGCGAAAGCAGGUCAUAGUGAUCCGGUGGUUCUGAAUGGAAGGGCCAUCGCUCAACGGAUAAAAGGUACUCCGGGGAUAACAGGCUGAUACCGCCCAAGAGUUCAUAUCGACGGCGGUGUUUGGCACCUCGAUGUCGGCUCAUCACAUCCUGGGGCUGAAGUAGGUCCCAAGGGUAUGGCUGUUCGCCAUUUAAAGUGGUACGCGAGCUGGGUUUAGAACGUCGUGAGACAGUUCGGUCCCUAUCUGCCGUGGGCGCUGGAGAACUGAGGGGGGCUGCUCCUAGUACGAGAGGACCGGAGUGGACGCAUCACUGGUGUUCGGGUUGUCAUGCCAAUGGCACUGCCCGGUAGCUAAAUGCGGAAGAGAUAAGUGCUGAAAGCAUCUAAGCACGAAACUUGCCCCGAGAUGAGUUCUCCCUGACCCUUUAAGGGUCCUGAAGGAACGUUGAAGACGACGACGUUGAUAGGCCGGGUGUGUAAGCGCAGCGAUGCGUUGAGCUAACCGGUACUAAUGAACCGUGAGGCUUAACCUU
Molecule: ribosomal RNA, 1918 nt
Filed under: Escherichia coli
Lineage: Bacteria; Pseudomonadati; Pseudomonadota; Gammaproteobacteria; Enterobacterales; Enterobacteriaceae
Description: partial 23S ribosomal RNA
Rfam family: Bacterial large subunit ribosomal RNA
Source: RNAcentral